UCCUACGGGAGGCAGCAGUGGGGAAUAUUGCACAAUGGGCGCAAGCCUGAUGCAGCCAUGCCGCGUGUAUGAAGAAGGCCUUCGGGUUGUAAAGUACUUUCAGCGGGGAGGAAGGCGAUAAGGUUAAUAACCUUGUCGAUUGACGUUACCCGCAGAAGAAGCACCGGCUAACUCCGUGCCAGCAGCCGCGGUAAUACGUAGGUGGCAAGCG
This 211-nucleotide ribosomal RNA is filed under the name uncultured bacterium. RNAcentral's name for it is "partial 16S ribosomal RNA". It matches the Rfam family "Bacterial small subunit ribosomal RNA", at positions 337 to 540 of the family's 1533-position model. The record is from RNAcentral.